Molecule: ribosomal RNA, 775 nt
Filed under: uncultured Neocallimastigales
Lineage: Eukaryota; Fungi; Neocallimastigomycota; Neocallimastigomycetes; Neocallimastigales
Description: partial large subunit ribosomal RNA
Rfam family: Eukaryotic large subunit ribosomal RNA
Source: RNAcentral
UAUCUCUGUAGAGUCUGCAUAUCAAUAAGCGGAGGAAAAGAAACUAACUAGGAUUCCCUCAGUAACGGCGAGUGAAGCGGGAAGAGCUCAAAUUUGAAAUCUUCAAGGUUUUACCUUGACGAAUUGUAGUUUAAAGAAGUGUUUUCUGUUGGAGUUUCGGUAAAAGUUCUUUGGAAUAGGACAUCAUAGAGGGUGAGAAUCCCGUAUUUGACCGUUACUUUCCAGCUGUGUGAUACACUUUCAAAGAGUCGGAUUGUUUGGGAAUGCAGUCCAAAAUGGGUGGUAAAUUUCAUCUAAAGCUAAAUAUUGGCGAGAGACCGAUAGCGAACAAGUACCGUGAGGGAAAGAUGAAAAGAACUUUGAAAAGAGAGUUAAACAGUACGUGAAAUUGUCAAAAGGGAAGCGUUUGACACCAGUGUUGUUUAGUUGAAAAUCAAUUCAAUAAUUUUUGAUUUUGAGUAGUAUUGACUUCAUCAGCUUGCUGCUUUCUUUUCAGAAAUUAUUGAAUGCACUUUUCAGUUAACAAGUCAACAUCAAUUUCUUUUGUUGUAAAAGGGUAAGAGGAAGGUGGCUUACGCUUCGGCGUAAGUGUUUAUAGCCUUUUACCUCUGCAAUCGGAGAGAUUGAGGUCUGCAGCGUAGACUCUUCGGGGUUAGAUACACUUGUGCUAAGCUAUAGCCUUGUAUAGACAACUUGUUGACUAUGCUCAGUCAUGUAGCUUACUCGCUUGUGCUAUCUUACCUACGCUUAGGAUGUUGAGUAGCGACAUACGCAC